GUCUACGGCCAUACCACCCUGAACGCGCCCGAUCUCGUCUGAUCUCGGAAGCUAAGCAGGGUCGGGCCUGGUUAGCACUUGGAUGGGAGACAGGGCUCAGCCAGCUGGCCA
This 111-nucleotide ribosomal RNA is filed under the name Neogale vison (American mink). The record is from RNAcentral. Lineage: Eukaryota; Metazoa; Chordata; Mammalia; Carnivora; Mustelidae.